UGCAAGUCGAGCGAACAGAUAAGGAGCUUGCUCCUUUGACGUUAGCGGCGGACGGGUGAGUAACACGUGGGUAACCUACCUAUAAGACUGGGAUAACUUCGGGAAACCGGAGCUAAUACCGGAUAACAUUUGGAACCGCAUGGUUCUAAAGUGAAAGAUGGUUUUGCUAUCACUUAUAGAUGGACCCGCGCCGUAUUAGCUAGUUGGUAAGGUAACGGCUUACCAAGGCGACGAUACGUAGCCGACCUGAGAGGGUGAUCGGCCACACUGGAACUGAGACACGGUCCAGACUCCUACGGGAGGCAGCAGUAGGGAAUCUUCCGCAAUGGGCGAAAGCCUGACGGAGCAACGCCGCGUGAGUGAUGAAGGGUUUCGGCUCGUAAAACUCUGUUAUUAGGGAAGAACAAAUGUGUAAGUAACUGUGCACGUCUUGACGGUACCUAAUCAGAAAGCCACGGCUAACUACGUGCCAGCAGCCGCGGUAAUACGUAGGUGGCAAGCGUUAUCCGGAAUUAUUGGGCGUAAAGCGCGCGUAGGCGGUUUCUUAAGUCUGAUGUGAAAGCCCACGGCUCAACCGUGGAGGGUCAUUGGAAACUGGGAAACUUGAGUGCAGAAGAGGAAAGUGGAAUUCCAUGUGUAGCGGUGAAAUGCGCAGAGAUAUGGAGGAACACCAGUGGCGAAGGCGACUUUCUGGUCUGUAACUGACGCUGAUGUGCGAAAGCGUGGGGAUCAAACAGGAUUAGAUACCCUGGUAGUCCACGCCGUAAACGAUGAGUGCUAAGUGUUAGGGGGUUUCCGCCCCUUAGUGCUGCAGCUAACGCAUUAAGCACUCCGCCUGGGGAGUACGACCGCAAGGUUGAAACUCAAAGGAAUUGACGGGGACCCGCACAAGCGGUGGAGCAUGUGGUUUAAUUCGAAGCAACGCGAAGAACCUUACCAAAUCUUGACAUCCUUUGAAAACUCUAGAGAUAGAGCCUUCCCCUUCGGGGGACAAAGUGACAGGUGGUGCAUGGUUGUCGUCAGCUCGUGUCGUGAGAUGUUGGGUUAAGUCCCGCAACGAGCGCAACCCUUAAGCUUAGUUGCCAUCAUUAAGUUGGGCACUCUAAGUUGACUGCCGGUGACAAACCGGAGGAAGGUGGGGAUGACGUCAAAUCAUCAUGCCCCUUAUGAUUUGGGCUACACACGUGCUACAAUGGACAAUACAAAGGGCAGCUAAACCGCGAGGUCAUGCAAAUCCCAUAAAGUUGUUCUCAGUUCGGAUUGUAGUCUGCAACUCGACUACAUGAAGCUGGAAUCGCUAGUAAUCGUAGAUCAGCAUGCUACGGUGAAUACGUUCCCGGGUCUUGUACACACCGCCCGUCACACCACGAGAGUUUGUAACACCCGAAGCCGGUGGAGUAACCAUUUAUGGAGCUAGCC
RNAcentral lists this ribosomal RNA (1419 nucleotides) under Staphylococcus saprophyticus. Its description in RNAcentral is "bacterial SSU rRNA". It matches the Rfam family "Bacterial small subunit ribosomal RNA". Lineage: Bacteria; Bacillati; Bacillota; Bacilli; Caryophanales; Staphylococcaceae. The record is from RNAcentral.